Populus euphratica (Euphrates poplar) is the source of this 3202-nucleotide long non-coding RNA. RefSeq lists it as uncharacterized. The record is from RefSeq and is a predicted model, not a curated record. The transcript is spliced from 3 exons. NCBI's taxonomy places the organism in Eukaryota, Viridiplantae, Streptophyta, Magnoliopsida, Malpighiales, Salicaceae.
CUCCCCUUUCUUUCUUGUUUGUCUUCAGUCUCUUUCUUAACUACAAAUAAUCUCUUGUCCUACGAUGGAUUCAGAUCUGCAGUAGAAAUCCUCUUUCCUGUCUCACAGUGAAGCGCGAGCGGAAAGCCUACUAUAUGGCUAUUGGCAACUGAGCUGCUGCAAUCUAGGACCAGAAAUUUAGAUACCAAUUGCGUUGAUUAAGCUUCUCCAGGAUCUCCAGCUGAUAUGCUGCAGUUGAAAAGUGCAUUAGCUCUUUAGAUGCUCAUUAACUUGUUUGAGGUGGCUGUAAAUUCCCGCUUAUAAAUCAAGUGGCGUGCGGGAGGUGAUGGAGUUUGUUGGUAGCCUUGGAAAUCCCGAAAACAUUGAACAAAUGAAAGUGACUGAAGAGGUGCAGCAUCUCUGAUGUACAGACUCCAAUUCCGUAAAAUCUGCAGUGCUGCUGGUUAUGACACUCAGGGAUUGAGGCUGAAAGAAUGCAUUUUCAGUACCUAUAAGCAUCCAAGUUCGAGAUCGAGAAAGAGACUUUCUGCUAAAACUGAAUAUCAGCAUUUUACCAGUUAUGUCGGCAUUUGACUUGCUAUUUGGAGUAGACUGAACAAGACAAUUAUGGUAAAAAAGUUGCAAAUUUGAAUCUCAUAAGAAUGGCAGAAGCUUAAGUACAUUUCUUUGCAUGCGCAUGCCUUUACCAAUACUUCAAUCACUAGCUUUUCACAGAUUUUUUGAGCUUUGUGUUUUCAUUCCUAAAAAAUGUUCACUUCCUGCUUUGAAAUACUGGCGUACUUUUUAUUGCCAUUUGUUGAACGUUGAAAUAAUGAAUUCCAUAUUUUCUUGUUAUUUGCAGACAUGGAACACAAAGUGGGAAAGAUCUUAAAGCUUAUACAUAAUAAUGGCCAAGCCAAAAAGGGUAAGAUCCUUGAAGAUUCAAAGAAAAGAUCGGCACUUAUUGAACUUAUCGAAGAUUUUCACAGUACCAGUCACUCUAUGCACAACAUGAUCAUCUUAGAGCAGAGAUGGGAAAGAGACUGAUAGCAACAAAGAAAAAGGAAAGUUCUUCCUCUCCAUCCUCUGACUCGGAGUAUUAUUCUCCUGAUGACUGAGGGAGCAGCCCCAUGAUAAAUAUGCAUCUUGAAACCACAGACGGAACUACUGGAGAACUUGAUCUUUCAAACUUAGAAAUUACUGGGCUGAAGCAUAGAUUGGCCACUGCUACUGCUGAAAAUGAAGCUUUACGUACCAAAUAAAGUGCAGCUUCACAAGAAGCAGGCACUGCCAAUGAGCACAACAAGGAACUUUCAGCUCGUAUAAUGGUGCAUGAGCUCCAUGACACAAGCAUCAGCUCACAUGAAGGGGCUGGAGGAACAGUUAACUACACUUAAGACUGAGAUGGAUUCCUUGUACAACCUGAAAAAGGACCUCAAGGUACAGAUUGAAAACAAAGCAGCUGAAGCUAAACAGCUUCAAGAGAGAGACUCACAGCUGCUUUCAUGGGUUUCGGAACUUGAACUGAUGUCAAAAGAGAAAGGAGACGAGAUAUCUACAAUCCAGAAGAAAAUGAAGGAUAAUGAGAAGAACUUCACAUCUAGAAUUGAAGAUUUAAUGACACAGGUCAAUAUUCUGCAACUGGAGACGGUUUCUUUACGUUCUCAGAAAGGUAAACUGGAAGAAGGUAAGCGGAAGGAAACAUCAGCUCAGGCCAAGGGCUUAAAGAACCAAAUUAACGUUUUCAAAAAGGAAUUGGAAUCCCUUCACAGUGAGAAAUCUCAUAUGAAAAUGAAAACUAAUGAAGUUGCUGAAAACGUGCUUUGAACCGAAACUUUGGAAGAUGAAAUAGCAAGGAAGGCUAUGGCUGAACAGGAACUGAAAGAGAAAGAAACCUUUCUUGUGCAGAGGCAUGACCAGGGACUAGAAGCGAACUCUCUCUGAAACCAAAAGAACAGAAUGGAAGAGCUGAUAAGAAGUAAGAACCAAGUGGCAGAUCAGUUGCGAGAAGGGGAGAGGAUGCAUGCUAGAAUAUUUGAACUAGAGGGGAACUUGCUAGAUAGAGGAGGUUCCUUUUCUCCUUGUCUGAGAGAAUAUGAGAGCAUUGUCAAUGAAGCGUCUACUCAGAUUAUUGCCUUGAAAUCAGAGGUUUUUAGUUUACAACAGGAUUUGGAUUCCUCGCUGAGUGAGAAGAGUUUGUUGGACAGAGAGACUAAGGCCAGACGCUAGGCAAAUCCAGUUUCAGAUGGAAAAUGAAAUCCACAAUUUAACGAGCGGGAUUGAAGAGCAGCAGAAAAUCCUGAAAGAAGAGGGGGUUACUAUUAAAAAGCUCGCUGAAGAGCCUAAAGUAGUCAAACAUAAUUUGCUGGAGCCCCCAAACAUCGGCCACUGGAAUCCCCAAGGACAAAUCCUCAAUCUUUAGAAAGAAAGAUGGAAGAACUGGCAGAAAACUUCAAUAUGAAAAUGGAAAAUCAUAACCAAAUCUUGUAUCAGAGGGUUUUAGUUUCAGAACAGAUACAUGCUGAGACCAAAGAUGGCUACAAGAAGAUGAAAGAGAGACUCGAUCAAGAAAACAUAGAGCUUAAUGACAAAGCAUCAGCAUUUGAAGCUGUACUCAGGAAGAUAAGGGAGAUGUUAUUGGAACCAGUAGAAGAUGCAUUUUCAGGAGCAGAAGCAAUGCUCAAGAAACUCAACGAGGACAAUGAAAAUCUCUCGGACCCCAUUAGCCGAAUCUCAAACGAGCUUCAGUUGGAUCACAGUAACAAAAGAUGACAUAAAAAAGCUGAAACAUACUGUGGAUGGUUUGAAGCUCCAACUCAAGGGCAAGGAAGAGAAGGAGCUUCUGUUAGGAGAAGAGGUAGGGAAACUAAAAGCAAAGCUGUGCAAGGAAGGGGGAGACAAGAUGAAUUCUGUUAGCCAGCUUGAGAGAAAGGUGGUAUAUUUAGAGCAGCAGGUAGGAUAAGGAAGAGGUUUUGCUAGGUCUCAGUGAGGAGAAGAGGGAGGCCAUAAGGCAGCUAUGCAUCUUGAUUGAUUAUCAUCGCGGCCGCUAUGAUCAAGCAAUAUCAAAGAAGACUGUUCAUAUCAAGAGAAUGGCUUAGAAGAGAUCUGCAGACACUUUCUUCUUUUCUUUAUUAAUGCUGUAAUUUUGUUUCAACAUUAUUUCUUUCACUUUUUUUCCUUGAACAAUCCAUAUGAGCAAAUUGGUUGAGCUUUAAUGUCUCGU